AACGCAGCGAAAGCUGCGNGAAUACCGCAUACGAUCUAUGGAUGAAAGCGGGGGACCGUAAGGCCUCGCGCGAUUGGAGCGGCCGAUGUCAGAUUAGGUAGUUGGUGGSGUAAAGGCCCACCAAGCCAACGAUCGUGUAGCUGGUCUGAGAGGACGACCAGCCACACUGGAACUGAGACACNNUCCAGACUCCUACGGGAGGCAGCAGUGGGGAAUUUUGGACAAUGGGCGCAAGCUGAUCCAGCAAUGCCGCGUGCAGGAAGAAGGCCUUCGGGUUGUAAACUGCUUUUGUACGGAACGAAACGGCCUGGGUUAAUACCCUGGGCUAAUGACGGUACCGUAAGAAUAAGCACCGGCUAACUACGUGCCAGCAGCCGCGGUAAUACGUAGGGUGCAAGCGUUAACAGGAAUUACUGGGCGUAAAGCGUGCGCAGGCGGUUUUGUAAGACAGUCGUGAAAUCCCCGGGCUCAACCUGGGAAUUGCGAUUGUGACUGCAAAGCUGGAGUGCGGCAGAGGGGGAUGGAAUUCCGCGUGUAGCAGUGAAAUGCGUAGAUAUGCGGAGGAACACCGAUGGCGAAGGCAAUCCCCUGGGCCUGCACUGACGCUCAUGCACGAAAGCGUGGGGAGCAAACAGGAUUAGAUACCCUGGUAGUCCACGCCCUAAACGAUGUCAACUGGUUGUUGGGUCUCUUCUGACUCAGUAACGAAGCUAACGCGUGAAGUUGACCGCCUGGGGAGUACGGCCGCAAGUUGAAACUCAAAGGAAUUGACGGGGACCGCACAAGCGGUGGAUGAUGUGGUUUAAUUCGAUGCAACGCGAAAAACCUUACCCACCUUUGACAUGUACGGAAUUUGCCAGAGAUGGCUUAGUGCUC
Molecule: ribosomal RNA, 876 nt
Filed under: Comamonadaceae bacterium BP-6
Lineage: Bacteria; Pseudomonadati; Pseudomonadota; Betaproteobacteria; Burkholderiales; Comamonadaceae
Description: bacterial SSU rRNA
Rfam family: Bacterial small subunit ribosomal RNA
Source: RNAcentral